Molecule: ribosomal RNA, 465 nt
Filed under: uncultured bacterium
Lineage: Bacteria
Description: partial 16S ribosomal RNA
Rfam family: Bacterial small subunit ribosomal RNA
Source: RNAcentral
CCUACGGGGGGCAGCAGUGGGGAAUAUUGCGCAAUGGGCGAAAGCCUGACGCAGCGACGCCGCGUGAGGGAUGAAGGUCUUCGGAUCGUAAACCUCUGUCAGCAGGGAAGAACGGUCACUGUGCUAAUCAGCAGUGAAUUGACGGUACCUGCAAAGGAAGCACCGGCUAACUCCGUGCCAGCAGCCGCGGUAAUACGGAGGGUGCGGGCGUUAAUCGGAAUUACUGGGCGUAAAGCGCUCGUAGGCGGUAUGUCAAGUCAAGGGGGAAAUCCCCGCGCUCAACGUGGGAACUGCCUUUGAAACUGGCAAACUGGAGUGUGUGAGAGGAUAGUGGAAUUCCAGGUGUAGGAGUGAAAUCCGUAGAUAUCGGGAGGAACAUCAGUGGCGAAGGCGACUAUCUGGCACAUAACUGACGCUGAGGAGCGAAAGCGUGGGUAGCGAACAGGAUUAGAUACCCGGGUAGUC